GAUGAAGAACGCAGUGAAAUGCGAUAAGUAGUGUGAAUUGCAGAAUUCAGUGAAUCAUCGAAUCUUUCAACGCACAUUGCGCCCUUUGGUAUUCCAAAGGGCAUGCCUGUUCGAGCGUCAUUUGUACCCUCAAGCUUUGCUUGGUGUUGGGCGUCUUGUCUCUAGCUUUGCUGGAGACUCGCCUUAAAGUAAUUGGCAGCCGGCCUACUGGUUUCGGAGCGCAGCACAAGUCGCACUCUCUAUCAGCAAAGGUCUAGCAUCCAUUAAGCCUUUUUUUCAACUUUUGACCUCGGAUCAGGUAGGGAUACCCGCUGAACUUAAGCAUAUCAAUAAGCGGAGGA
RNAcentral lists this unclassified non-coding RNA (341 nucleotides) under soil metagenome. Its description in RNAcentral is "partial contains 5.8S ribosomal RNA, internal transcribed spacer 2, and large subunit ribosomal RNA". The stretch from base 1 to 120 matches the Rfam family "5.8S ribosomal RNA", at positions 35 to 154 of the family's 154-position model. The record is from RNAcentral.